GAUAUUUCAGUUUACAAUAAAGUGUGCUCUAAAUGCGGAAUGGAGUAUAGGUAUCAAGAAUGGAGUGACGGUCUUCACAAUUACGAUGAUUCAACAUUCAUUGGGUUUGAUGCUUGUCAUCUAAUUAGAGCUGGCUUACAGAAUCAUGUGGCAAUUAGUAGAACGAUAAACAUGCUGGCAGAUACACUAGACGAAAAUCUGAGGCUUCAUGACCUAACGAAUGCUUAUUUGAUGUUUGAAGCACUAACUGAGCAUUCAUAUUCUUUCUACUGCUAUCUGUGUGGCUUCUAUCCGACAACGAUUGUGAUGGACGGUAUACGAAAGACUUGUUUUCGACAUGCCGUUUCAGAUAUGGUUGCACCGGCAGAUUUUACAGAAUUACCCGAAACAGUUGAUAUGGAUUCAUUUUGGAAGAAAGUGGAACAAGAGUUGAUAAGUCCUGGAGUCAGACAUGGUAAACA
This is a long non-coding RNA of Mytilus californianus (California mussel), 461 nucleotides long. RefSeq lists it as uncharacterized. The transcript is spliced from 3 exons. The record is from RefSeq and is a predicted model, not a curated record. NCBI's taxonomy places the organism in Eukaryota, Metazoa, Mollusca, Bivalvia, Mytilida, Mytilidae.